Molecule: unclassified non-coding RNA, 2108 nt
Filed under: Hevea brasiliensis (rubber tree)
Lineage: Eukaryota; Viridiplantae; Streptophyta; Magnoliopsida; Malpighiales; Euphorbiaceae
Source: RNAcentral
GGAGAACUACUCAUAGGAUGUUAUUUUGUCACUACAAUCCACUCAAAGAAACACUGUGAUCAAGUUCAAUAGAACAGGUAAUGAAUAAAAAAUUCAAUAGAACAGUGAACAUAAAAUUCAUUUCACGGCAUUUUGUUACAUUAUUGUCUGGCAAACAUACACAAAGUGAAUUGUUGAAAUGUACUGGACUUAUCAAUAUGAUGAUGAGGUCGGAAUUUUAUGACAUUGAAUUGAAACGAUUUUGAUCCAGUAGCACACAUCAAAGAGGCACAACAACUGAACAGUGAUCUUAGUAAUGAGAGGCUUUGAAGACGGUGAGCAGCAAGAGGAAGAGAUUAAUGAUGUCCACGUACAAAGACACUGCGGCCCAAAUGUAUUUGUCAUAAGAGUAGCUCUUAAUAAUUAGGCUGUCUGUGACGCACACAAUGUAGCAGCAGAAUGUGAUUGAACCAAAGCACCCAUACAUCAUGACAAAUAUUCUAUCCAUUGGAAAAACAAUCUGUACCAAACCAAACACCACAACUAUGGCAAUGGCAACGAACAAGAAGGGGCGUAGGAAGUCAAAAUCAUGGCCUCUGCUUGCUGCCCAGAAUGUGUACAGAGUAAGAUUCACAACCAUCGCAGUUGCCAGAAUCGCACUUUGAAGAAUAACGUCCCCACUGGCAACUGCACAUGUCAAUCCAACCAAAAACCCGAAAGCAGUGGUUAAUACCCAAAAGAGAAGAAAACUGGCCAAGUCGGAGCAGCACAACAGACACAAUGCUGCAUUAUUUCUCACAUCAAAAUCAAAAUCCUGCAACACUCAAAAGCCACGGAAACAAAAAGCACUUGCUAUCUUACACCUACCUGUGAUUGCCGUUAUGCUGAUGCCUAAGUAGAAAGGUAAUCCAGCAUUACUACUCACAAUAAAGUAGACCAAGGAAUGAAUUGACAUGAUUACUGUGGCCGCCCCAAUAAUUGUCAGGAGCAAUUGAAUGGCUACGAUCAAGUAGACUUUGCAAAUGAAUACCUGCUGGAGGUCAGGACUUUCCAACAUUGCUGCAGAUUCCCCCGCCUCCACAUCUCUACACUCUUGAGGCUGCAGACACAUUUUCAAAGAGUUUUUGGAUUUCAAUAUUUGGUUUGGAGUUUACUUAUGCAUUUCCCCUUAUUGGGAAGUAAGGAAAAUUGACUUUAAUUUAAAGACAUUCUCGCUUUAAUCCUUGGGGUUUAUACUCCUACGAAAAAAGUCUAAAACGUUAUUAAGUGAAGGCCAACUCUAUUAGCCUAAUCUGAGACCACCCUACUCAUGAAAAAUUGAAUGGAAUUUUAUUAAUACAAUUGCUGAAACCUCCCUUCUUUAAAUCCCUCGCCUGUUCCGCCGAAAAUUAAAAACCUACCGCUCAAGAAUUGGAACACCGAACACCUGUGCUUUUGCUUCUUUCUCUUUUUGACUUGGGAUGCGAGCAAUGGCUCACUCUCACUGUGAGCCACUAGCUAGUAUCUAGGGGUUCAUAACAUGUUAUGUUAAAUAAUUCUUAAGAUUUUUUUUGUACCCAACUCAGCAUUAAUAUUAGGGAGAACCUAAUUCUGUAGCCACUCUCUCUCUACUGGUUAUAGAGAGAUUUUCAUCUGAAAUUGCUUCCUCUCCCUCAGGCACUCGGCCUCCUUUGCUUUGCCGUCAAGCGGUCUACCCUGGCCCAUCUGGGCAGGGGACUUCCCUUCCUUGUCCAGUUAAGUGGGUCGCCCUCCUCACGGCAACCAGUCUCUCAAUGGCUAUAACCCACAGGAGUUAAGAGAGCUCUGUCUUGCCACCCGUUAGUGUCCCUUGUUCAGAUCACGCUCUAAACUAGGUUGUGUGUUUCUCGGUGCUCUUAAGGUCAUUCUAGCAACUCGACCUCCUGGAGAAGUGUUAUGGAAGGAAUCGACCGUUAAGUCUUGACGUCAGUUUUUCCUCUCACCCGUUUGCCUCGUCUUCUCUGGGAUGUCUGCCUGGGUUUCGGCUGCGGAGAUGCAGCGCUGCAUCUGCUGGGAAUCGGUUGUUCCUCUCAUGUGGGUCGUGUCUUGAGAUAGGGUUGGGUUUGGUUUUAGUUGGGUCUCCAACGAUUUGUUGUAAUGGGUUGGGUUGC